GACGAACGCUGGCGGCGUGCUUAACACAUGCAAGUCGAGCGGUAAGGCCCUUUCGGGGUACGACGAGCGGCGAACGGGUGAGUAACACGUGGGUGACCUGCCCUCAGCUCUGGGAUAAGCCUGGGAAACCGGGUCUAAUACUGGAUAUGACUCCAUGACGCAUGUUGUGGGGUGGAAAGCCUUGUGCGGCUGAGGAUGGCCCGCGGCCUAUCAGCUUGUUGGUGGGGUGANGGGCCUACCAAAGGCGACGACGGGUAGCCGGCCUGAGAGGGCGACCGGCCGACACUGGGACUGAGACACGGCCCAGACUCCUACGGGAGGCAGCAGUGGGGAAUCUUGCGCAAAUGGGCGAAAGCCUGACGCAGCGACGCCGCGUGAGGGAUGACGGCCUCGG
Molecule: ribosomal RNA, 394 nt
Filed under: uncultured bacterium
Lineage: Bacteria
Description: bacterial SSU rRNA
Rfam family: Bacterial small subunit ribosomal RNA
Source: RNAcentral